GACGAACGCUGGCGGCGUGCUUAACACAUGCAAGUCGAGCGGAGCGGCGAACGGGUGAGUAACGCGUGAGUAACUACCCCCCUCUCUGGGAGAACAGUUGGAAACGGCUGCUAAUAACCGAUAGUGGGGGAUGACUCGCGUCCUAUCAGCUUGUUGGUGGGGUAGUGGCCUACCAAGGCGACGACGGGAAGCCGGACUGGGAGGGCGACCGGCCACAUUGGGCUGAGAUACGGCCCAAAGUCCUACGGUGGGCAGCAGUGGGAAAUAUUGCACAAUGGGGGAAACCCUGAUGCAGCAACGCGCGUGCGGGAUGACGGCCUUCGGGUUGUAAACCGCUUUCAGCCAUGACGCGGUAGUGGCAGAAGAAGCACCGGCUAACUACGUGCCAGCCGCCGCGGUAAUAC
Molecule: ribosomal RNA, 404 nt
Filed under: uncultured bacterium
Lineage: Bacteria
Description: partial 16S ribosomal RNA
Rfam family: Bacterial small subunit ribosomal RNA
Source: RNAcentral